This 764-nucleotide ribosomal RNA is filed under the name uncultured Streptococcus sp. Its description in RNAcentral is "bacterial SSU rRNA". It matches the Rfam family "Bacterial small subunit ribosomal RNA", at positions 28 to 776 of the family's 1533-position model. Lineage: Bacteria; Bacillati; Bacillota; Bacilli; Lactobacillales; Streptococcaceae. The record is from RNAcentral.
GAUGAACGCAGGCGGCGUGCGUAAUACAUGCAAGUAGAACGCUGAAGGAAGGAGCUUGCUCUUUCAGGUGAGUUGCGAACGGGUGAGUAACGCGUAGGUAACCUGCCUGGUAGCGGGGGAUAACUAUUGGAAACGAUAGCUAAUACCGCAUAACAGUAGAUGUUGCAUGACAUCUGCUUGAAAGGGGCAAUUGCUCCACUACCAGAUGGACCUGCGUUGUAUUAGCUAGUUGGUGAGGUAACGGCUCACCAAGGCGACGAUACAUAGCCGACCUGAGAGGGUGAUCGGCCACACUGGGACUGAGACACGGCCCAGACUCCUACGGGAGGCAGCAGUAGGGAAUCUUCGGCAAUGGACGGAAGUCUGACCGAGCAACGCCGCGUGAGUGAAGAAGGUUUUCGGAUCGUAAAGCUCUGUUGUAAGAGAAGAACGAGUGUGAGAGUGGAAAGUUCACACUGUGACGGUAUCUUACCAGAAAGGGACGGCUAACUACGUGCCAGCAGCCGCGGUAAUACGUAGGUCCCGAGCGUUAUCCGGAUUUAUUGGGCGUAAAGCGAGCGCAGGCGGUUAGAUAAGUCUGAAGUUAAAGGCUGUGGCUUAACCAUAGUACGCUUUGGAAACUGUUUAACUUGAGUGCAAGAGGGGAGAGUGGAAUUCCAUGUGUAGCGGUGAAAUGCGUAGAUAUAUGGAGGAACACCGGUGGCGAAAGCGGCUCUCUGGCUUGUAACUGACGCUGAGGCUCGAAAGCGUGGGGAGCAAACAGG